AUUGAACGCUGGCGGCAGGCCUAACACAUGCAAGUCGAACGAGUGGCGGACGGGUGAGUAAUGUCUGGGAAACUGCCCGAUGGAGGGGGGUAACUCCUGGAAACGGUAGCUAAUACCGCAUACCCUCGGAUGUGCCCACAUGGGAUUAGCUAGUCGGUGGGGUAACGGCUCACCUCGGCGACGAUCCCUAGCUGGUCUGUGAGGAGGCCCAGCCACACUGGAACUGAGAAAAGGUCCAGACUCCUACGGGAGGCAGCAGUGGGGAAUAUUGCACAAUGGGCGCAAGCCUGAUGCAGCCAUGCCGCGUGUAUGAAGAAGGCCUUCGGGUUGUAAAGUACUUUCAGCGAGGAGGCGUUACUCGCAGAAGAAGCACCGGCUAACUCCGUGCCAGCAGCCGCGGUAAUUC
This 406-nucleotide ribosomal RNA is filed under the name uncultured bacterium. RNAcentral describes it as "partial 16S ribosomal RNA". It matches the Rfam family "Bacterial small subunit ribosomal RNA", at positions 30 to 526 of the family's 1533-position model. The record is from RNAcentral.